Molecule: ribosomal RNA, 19 nt
Filed under: Amorphotheca resinae (creosote fungus)
Lineage: Eukaryota; Fungi; Ascomycota; Leotiomycetes; Helotiales; Amorphothecaceae
Description: partial 28S ribosomal RNA
Source: RNAcentral
UGACCUCGGAUCAGUAGGU